Molecule: long non-coding RNA, 2400 nt
Organism: Gymnodraco acuticeps
Lineage: Eukaryota; Metazoa; Chordata; Actinopteri; Perciformes; Bathydraconidae
Exons: 9
Source: RefSeq, a predicted model, not a curated record
GGCAGCUCGGGGGAUGAGAGGAGUGCAUGCAGACACGUGAUGUAAAGUCUUGCUUUUACGUAAAUUGAAGAACUGAAGUAAAGAUCGUCUUGUUUUUUAAACGUAUGCACGCCUGGAAAUCCCUCUUGUGUCCACGUGUGCAACAAAUAUUGGAGGCACUGCUGAGGUAUUAAUGUUUCGCCGUGUCUGUGUGUGACACCAACUCGGACGGAGUUUUCCCCUGACGGGAGCGAGCAGGGCUGGAGCACCGGACGCGCACAGCAGGUUGCAACUGGAUCAGCUCAAAGAGGUGAGAUGGCUGACAAUUAAGAAAACAGAGUUCAGUGAGGAAGAGACGGCUUGGUCUUCAACAGGAUGCCAGGAUCACAUUUUUAACACACCGUUUAAAGCUGAACAUCCAGCAUACCACACAGAGAUGGAGAAUGACAGCACGCUCUUGAUGGUCGCCCGGUAGAAGGACACCAGCAGCUUCUUGUUCAGUCUGUUCCUCCGAAGCACCCUCAUGAAGUGCAGUCGCUGCUGGGCCUUUUUAACUGCUGCAGUGGUGUGUGCAGCUGAGGCUCUCCGAAAUUUGAACCCCGAGGAACUUAAAGGUGGGGACCCUCUCCACUCUCUCUCCAUUGAGUCUUGACCCCUUGAUGCAUCUCUUCAAGACAAGUUACUGGGCAAACACCAAACUGCAAGAUGAAAACUAUUGUCAUUGAUUGGAUGCCACAUCUCUGCCUAUUUGCAGAGACAACUCCCCAGAAGAAGAAAUAACCUGCAGUUACGGGGAUGCUGACUGGCCUUUGCGCAAACAGUUCCAGGUGACAAACGGGCAUACUAAUCCAGAGGGAGUUGAGGAGGAGAGGCUCCCCUUAGACUUGACUUUCCCCGAAACAUCAACAAGUGACUGUGCUACGACCGAGUUCCAGGUGACAAACGGGCAUACUAAUCCAGAGGGAGUUGAGGAGGAGAGGCUCCCCUUAGACUUGACUUUCCCCGAAACAUCAACAAGUGACUGUGCUACGACCGAGUUCCAGGUGACAAACGGGCAGACUAAUCCAGAGGGAGUUGAGGAGGAGAGGCUCCCCUUAGACUUGACUUUCCCCGAAACAUCAACAAGUGACUGUGCUACUACCGAGUUCCAGGUGACAAACGGGCAGACUAAUCCAGGGAGGGAGUUGAGGACGAGACGCUCUCCUUGGAACUUUAUGUCUACAUAAGCAUCAAACAGUGACUGUGCUACUACCGAGGGAAACAAACGUUUGUGAAACGCAGCUGGACGUCAGCAGAAAGUGCUGCUGUGGAACAACACUUGGGUUAUGAAAUGGACAAUCAAGAACCAGGUUCCAGGGAAAGAUGCAUGUGAGGAUUGUAUCCCUGCCGAACCUCAAGCCCUAACAAAUAGGGACUGGGGAGCCGUUAAGUAUUACAUGAACAUUUCAAUUUCUUCUCUCCGAAUGUAAAUGAAAUAAAAUUGAACCAAGGAAAAAUACGUUCAAUGUUGAAAGAAGGAUUUCAAGUACCACUACCAAAACUAGGGGCUUUACCUAAACCAAACCAAAUUUUCAUUUUUGAAUCGUCAACUAAUAUAAAUUAAAGGGAAAUCAAUUGCAUUCCGAUUAUGCUGCUAGAAAGAAUCAUCCAUGUUUUCAAAGAUUUCCUUUUUUGCUUUUAGGGUUUUCCCUCUCCUGUAGUGUAGAAAAUAUCUUUUUGUGCAUGUAAAUGUUUUUCAAAGUCUAAAAUCCCUCAUUGAAGCAUGGAAACAUUUCACAGGAGAGAAACUUUAUACAAAUUUGAACCUCAAAAUGACCAGAAUAUGUCAUUGUUAAAUGUAACUCAAAAGGAGGUAAAAGUCUACUGAUUUGUUAGGCCUGUUUGUUUUGUUUUUUGGGUCAUGGGAUUGGUCAAGUUGUACAUUUUGUUUUAACGAUAUAGAAACACCCCAAUAAUAUACAAAUAAAUAUUUAUAGCAUUAAAAUAAUGUUGUAGAGAGUUUAUAUGAAUUAUACUUUUUUCUCAAGAAUUACUAAUUGUUGCCUCUAAGAAAAAACAAUGUUGAACGAAAAGGAUCUUUAGGGGAUUAUUGAUUUGGUCUCCAUGGUGUUUCAAUGUUACUGCCAUGUCUACUGUCUAGUUAUAUUCUAUGUUAAGAUGAGGCUAAUCACCUAAGUAAUGACUUAUUUUACCAGCAAUGUGAAUUUGUUGGUGUAAAAAAUAUCAGAGUAGAAUGUAAAUGUUCAUGAUGCUGUUCUGCAGUUUCUUUGGUAACAAGGAAAGUCCAUUCAACUCAAUAAUGUCUCUAGUAACUCUGAUCCCUUCCAAGAUAUGAAAACUAGAAAUAUGUGUGUGUCUGAUCCCUUCCAAGAUAUGAAAACUAGAAAUAUGUGUGUGUGUGUGUAUAAUGGACCUCAUAAG